UUCUUACCCUCUUCUCUGCAACUCCGUCUCCUCCACCACCAACUCCACUGCCUCCGCCUCAACCACCACCACACCCCUUCUACGAGCCAUCAUGGCUCUUCUUAACCAAAACCCAUCAUUCCCUUACCUCUCUAGACAUCUGUUCUAGCAAUUUCAAUCCUUUUAUUCACUGAAACCCUAGGUUUGAAAUUGGUAGAAUAGGUGAAGUUGGAGAAGCUAUAUUAGAGCAGCAAUUGGACGAAGAGAGGAAGUAGCAGCAUGGGUCGAAGAAAUUGAGUGAUUAUCAGAGAAGUAGGGUGGACCGCGUUGGAAUUUUCAUUUUGAGAUUCAUGUUUCCAUUAGUAAGUUGUGUAUGGUUUUCACGGGAACCUAAAUGAGGAUAAGCAGAAACACUAUUAUAAUCUUGCCAGUCCACAUGAACAUUUCUUUUAUCCAGAAUAGUAAACCUUGGCUCUGAACGAAUAUGCCAAUGGUCAUGGGGAAGCUCUUGGUGCUACUGUUGAAAGAGUGGCUCCCUAUCAAUCACACAUGAAGACCUCUACGUCAAUAUUGCAAGGAGAAAACUAGAGGAAGCAAAAAGAUUUGGCAUCAAAACAGGAAGAACUUAAUCAAAGGCCAUUAGAAUGAAUGUAAACCGGGUUUCUUUGCUGAUGAAUUUGAGAACCUUGCUACCUUUCGACCUCACUAUUAAGGAACUGGGCCAGAGUCCGGGAACAAACAAGUGGUGGCAAAUUGGAUUCCCUUAUGGAAGCUGCAGGUACUGGUGGCACAGUUGCUGGUGUUUCCCUGUUUCUUGGGAUGUAGUGCUCCAUUUAUUUGAAAAGGCGGCAAGUUAUCGGACAUGCGGGUUAAGUUUAUCUUUUUCUUUCAUCUUAACAAGAAAACGAUCCACAUAUUAGGAGCUUAGAAACUUUCUUUAUUAGGAGCUUUCAAACUCUCUUGAUUCAUGUCUAAUGAAUUGUCACCGGUCUGGAUUAAAACAAAUACCUCGAGCAUGGUACGAAAGACUUACCACUUCACUUCUUCGAAAACGAUUCCCACAAAAUGGAGCAGAUAAAAAUAUAUUUACCAAAUGGAGUGGGAAAGAUGUCUUUAUUGCUCAAAUCUAUAUGGAUGACAUAAUCUAUGGAUGUACUUCCGAGAAACUUGCUAAAUAAUUUGAAAGCUCUCUUGAC
Molecule: long non-coding RNA, 1175 nt
Organism: Papaver somniferum (opium poppy)
Lineage: Eukaryota; Viridiplantae; Streptophyta; Magnoliopsida; Ranunculales; Papaveraceae
Exons: 3
Source: RefSeq, a predicted model, not a curated record